GCCUUCUGCAACUCCCUUCUCCAACCUCCACAGAAGAUAAUUCUCUUCAUUUGUCUCUUUGUCUGCUUCAACCAAAGGUGGAGUUGUGUUAGAUGGAAAUAUGCCCCUGAAUCCAAGGCAAUCUAAUCUGGGAUCUCUAUACCAUAGCCACCCACAAUUGUUUCCUUGUGAAGAUGACUGGCCAGAGCGAUCAAACCCACCACCCCAUCCAAGGGAGGCAGCAUCUGGCUCUUCAGAGGACUUCUGAGUUAAAUAUUGGCCAAACCUCUGCCAGCAAGAGAAAUCAUCAACCACGCUCUCUAUUUCAACCUUAGACCUCAACCGAUACUUUUUCAGUGUCUGCAGAAGCUCGUCCAAUUCAGAACCAUCAACAUCAGCAAACAAUUCCAGCUCCCCAGAAUCAGGGCCAGGCCCUGAACCAGUUCGAUCAAGCUUCUCAUCAGCUCGAGGCGGCCUAUACAAGAACAUAUCAUACAAAAACCUUCCUUGAGCAGUCAAAAGAGCAGCAUACACCGGAGAAACCGAAACAAACGGCGCGUUGGUAGUGGCCAAAGUGGUCCUAUCUUCGGGUUGUGGAUUUUCUAACCUCCGUAGAUCAUUGGUAACAAGACCCUGAAGGAAUUUAACCGUGUCAGGUCCUGUAAAACGGAUAACGGAUCGGGUCUUGAGACGGGAAGCCAUGGGGCCGGCAUUUUCGAGCUGGGAUUGAUGAGAGAAGCGUAUGGAAGAAUUGAUAAAAGUUGAAUUUUUGGGUUUGAAGAAAUGAAGAGAUCGUUUCAAACGGUACAUUGCUGGCGGCGAUGGUGGUUGCAGAGCGGUGAAGACGGCGGGUAUAUGAAAAUUGGUUGACGGACACGUGGAUUUAGACGGUGCUACGUGGUGAAUAAAGAAGGAAGUUAGCUGUUAGGUGUUGAAUAAUUAAAAAAA
Molecule: unclassified non-coding RNA, 927 nt
Filed under: Hevea brasiliensis (rubber tree)
Lineage: Eukaryota; Viridiplantae; Streptophyta; Magnoliopsida; Malpighiales; Euphorbiaceae
Source: RNAcentral